UCAUUGCUGUUGUGUACAGACCUCCUGACUACAGUUUGACACCGUUCAUGCAAAACCUGCACAGCCUACAUUCAGGUGUCCUGAGAACAUAUUACAGUUACCACAACCCUGUGUUUUGUGUCCUGUCCUCAAGUCAAUCAUGAAGUCGUCUGGUGAGUUUUGAAACAAUUACAGAUCAUGUUUGUUACAGAGUUUACUGAUUGUAGAGCAUGAAAAAGAUUUUUUGUUGAUAAUGGAAGGCAAAAAUUUGUUUCCCUGCUCUGUCUGUAAGAAGACCAUCCUUCAAUUUAUCAAACCUUUCUCAUUGCAAUGUUAUUAAUCAUUUCACCAAAUCAUGGCUGUACUUCAUGCAGAGCAGGGAGAUCUGCCUUCUGUUAUCAUGCACCUCUGAUCUGAAAUGUGCUGCAAAAAGUAUUAAACAGACAU
Long non-coding RNA from Oreochromis niloticus (Nile tilapia), 426 nucleotides. RefSeq lists it as uncharacterized. The record is from RefSeq and is a predicted model, not a curated record. Lineage: Eukaryota; Metazoa; Chordata; Actinopteri; Cichliformes; Cichlidae. The transcript has 2 exons.